AAAGAAACACACUUAUUAUUGUGUGCCGCCAUUUACAAAAUGUCAAUAUCGUUAUAUUGACAGCAGACGUUUCAAGUUAAGUUUAAUUCUUGGUCUUCGAAUGAAUCGGCAUCUUAUUAGCACACUAGUGAAGUCAAGGGAGAAAAUCAGACAUUUCAAUGUCAAAACAUCUUCCCUUUCACAUCAUGGUUGAACACACGCGCAUCAUCAGACAUCAGAACAAUGUUUACAAGGUCAAGGUCACUUUUGAAGAAUCACGCCAAAUAUCCAAAUCAGACGAAGUGAUUGCUUUUGAAAAAGUGGAGCCUGUAAUUCGAGCAGUGUUGUACGCUGAGGAGAGGGGCCAGCUGUUGAGGUUGGUAGACACAAAGGAGCUUACUGUCUCUUGUGAAAAGAAAUACUGGAAAGCUUCUGAAAAAUUGGGAUUCAAGCAGAAUGGAAAGACACUGGAAGCAUAUCCUUACAUGCUAUUAUUUCAUGUCAGGUUAAAAAGUGAAAGUCAUCAGGCGACUGGAAAGAAGGCUGAGAACACUUGUGAAAAGGGGACAAAAGUACAGAAAGGGUACACAUCAGACAAAACGAACAGGCUUAUUAGUGACUUUAGUCAGAACAACUUUCAGCCUGUUGUUGAGUUAUCUAGAGUGUCUCUGCGGUCUUUUAAUCAGCAGAAAAACAAUCAUGACACUCCUAAUCGUAGAUCCACUAGGAACAUAAGUUCACCAUCUUUGGUAAGUGAAAGAUUGCCUGAAAAAACGAAAACAGUCCACCCACAAUAUUGAGCCUGAAAACAGUAACAGCAGUACCAAAAGGCCUAGAUUUACUCUUGAAGACAGGCAUAAUAGUUCUUCUGGAAAGAAACAAUCAGAACUUUGUGACAAUCAACUGCAUCCAUCGACUAUGAAGAAGAACUCAGUAGAAGCAAUGGUGAUGUCACCUAUUGUUCCUAAACUGACAGAAAAACUAAGGAGUUCACAUUCUCAAGGAAUUACAUCUGUUUACCCUCAACAAAGAGGUAAAAGAACUGAUUCCCCUAGACUGUCAAGUGCUGCUUUCAAGAAUCAAAGAAAGAGCCCAAGGCUCGUGAACAGAGAAGCCAAGAUUUCACCAGGACCAAACACUCCUGGGAGCACGAUUUCCCAGCGGGCAAGUACAGAGUUCUGGAGGCUUAUGAAAAGUUUAUUAACACCUGUGAAGUUGUUAACAGGACGACAUAGUAAAUAGAUUUGAAUCUGUGAUUCUGUGCCAGUUUUACACUGAAUUUCUAAGCAUGUUUUUCAAGUGAAUGUUGUAUUGUUGUAAAUCAGUUGGGUUUUUAAGAUACUGAUAAUAUUUGCAAAAGAGUUGAUUUGAAAAGUUUAUGUGCUUUGGUUCAGCUUAGUGUACAAUAAAGAUGAAGCCAGGUUGCUUUAUAUAUCCAAUUAUGGCUGCAACAAAUCUACUAUGAGGCCAAUACAAUACAUAUCACAAAUAUAGGGUAAUGAAUAUGCAUGUCAUCAGUGGAUGUAUUCAUUAUAUUCAGUGGAACAAUAACAAAACAAUUCUUUGACAUGUUUUGACCAUGUUGACAAUAUUAAUUAAAACUUCGAAGACAAUAACCAGUGAAAACAUUUCUGUCACAUUCACCGAGGCCAAAUAAACUUGGUAAAUGUU
Long non-coding RNA from Haliotis rubra (blacklip abalone), 1650 nucleotides. RefSeq lists it as uncharacterized. NCBI's taxonomy places the organism in Eukaryota, Metazoa, Mollusca, Gastropoda, Lepetellida, Haliotidae. The record is from RefSeq and is a predicted model, not a curated record. The transcript has 2 exons.